Molecule: long non-coding RNA, 877 nt
Filed under: Homo sapiens (human)
Lineage: Eukaryota; Metazoa; Chordata; Mammalia; Primates; Hominidae
Description: HSALNT0406835
Source: RNAcentral
CGCCAUGAUUGUGAGUCUUCCCCAGCCAUGUGGAACUAAGUAAAACGGGGAAUUUUUUAGAAACACGUCAAUUACCUUUGAUUUUGUGUCAUAUACAGAAGGGAAUGUUUUUAUUCCUGCAAACCCCAUAAAAGCCAGUGAUGCAUUUUCAUAGCCCUCUCUUGGCAGAAAACUGCCUUUGAAAUUUCUGGAUCAAGAACGUAUUAUUUUCUGAUGGCUUUUUUUUUUUUUUUUUCUGGUGAUGUAUCUCAAAAGCUUCAACUUUUCCCCUCCUGUUAGCAGAAUACAGAAUUUUGAAGGUCCCUGAUAAGACAUCUUUGAGGUCAGGCAUAAAUCAUCACUUCACAUCUUGACGGCAAUGCAACGAAGACAAGUAUCUGUCUCUUUGGGUCUGUCUAACAAGGAGCAAAGCCUGGCCUCCCACCAGCAUCCAGACAAUAGUGGAUUCCCUCUCCAUAGAUGUCAAAAAAGAAACAGAUGCUCCCGCAGGUGAAAUGAGCUCUGGUCCACAAUGCAACGCAGGCUGUGCAGAAAAUCAAAGAGGAACCAACCCAGAAGUAUCCCCCAGGACAAAUCAUUAAGGGGGAAAAGGUCUCUGCAAAUGUAAUGAGUCCAGACACCAAGGGAAACGGAGAAGAUAAGAAGCAGAGAUUGAGGUAAUGCGUCCACCAGCCAAGGAGCACCAAGACGUGCUGGCGACCACCAGAUGCUAGCGGGGAGACCUGGAACAGAUUCUCCCUCAAAGCCUCCAGAAGUAAACCAACUCUGUAGACACCUUCAUUUCAGACUUCUGGUCUCCAGAGCUGUGAGAGAAUCCAUUUCUGUUCAUUGCAGCCACUUUUUUCUUUUCUUCCUUCUUUCUUUUCUUUUUUCUUUC